UACGUAGGUCCCGAGCGUUGUCCGGAUUUAUUGGGCGUAAAGGGAACGCGGGCGGUCUUUUAAGUCUGAUGUGAAAGCCUUCGGCUUAACCGGAGUAGUGCAUUGGAAACUGGGAGACUUGAGUGCAGAAGAGGAGAGUGGAACUCCAUGUGUAGCGGUGAAAUGCGUAGAUAUAUGGAAGAACACCAGUGGCGAAAGCGGCUCUCUGGUCUGUAACUGACGCUGAGGUUCGAAAGCGUGGGUAGCAAACAGG
This 253-nucleotide ribosomal RNA is filed under the name uncultured bacterium. Its description in RNAcentral is "partial 16S ribosomal RNA". It matches the Rfam family "Bacterial small subunit ribosomal RNA", at positions 524 to 776 of the family's 1533-position model. The record is from RNAcentral.